Molecule: ribosomal RNA, 996 nt
Filed under: uncultured bacterium
Lineage: Bacteria
Description: bacterial SSU rRNA
Rfam family: Bacterial small subunit ribosomal RNA
Source: RNAcentral
GGCGGCAGGCCUAACACAUGCAAGUCGAGCGGUAACAUUUCUAGCUUGCUAGAAGAUGACGAGCGGCGGACGGGUGAGUAAUGCUUGGGAAUAUGCCUUAGGGUGGGGGACAACAGUUGGAAACGACUGCUAAUACCGCAUAACGUCUACGGACCAAAGGGGGCUUCGGCUCUCGCCCUUAGAUUAGCCCAAGUGGGAUUAGCUAGUUGGUGAGGUAAUGGCUCACCAAGGCGACGAUCCCUAGCUGGUUUGAGAGGAUGAUCAGCCACACUGGAACUGAGACACGGUCCAGACUCCUACGGGAGGCAGCAGUGGGGAAUAUUGCACAAUGGGCGCAAGCCUGAUGCAGCCAUGCCGCGUGUGUGAAGAAGGCCUUAGGGUUGUAAAGCACUUUCAGUAAGGAGGAAAGGUUAGUAGUUAAUACCUGCUAGCUGUGACGUUACUUACAGAAGAAGCACCGGCUAACUCCGUGCCAGCAGCCGCGGUAAUACGGAGGGUGCGAGCGUUAAUCGGAAUUACUGGGCGUAAAGCGUACGCAGGCGGUUUGUUAAGCGAGAUGUGAAAGCCCCGGGCUCAACCUGGGAACUGCAUUUCGAACUGGCAAACUAGAGUAUGAUAGAGGGUGGUAGAAUUUCAGGUGUAGCGGUGAAAUGCGUAGAGAUCUGAAGGAAUACCGAUGGCGAAGGCAGCCACCUGGGUCAAUACUGACGCUCAUGUACGAAAGCGUGGGGAGCAAACGGGAUUAGAUACCCCGGUAGUCCACGCCGUAAACGAUGUCUACUAGGAGCUGGGGUCUUCGGACAACUUUUCCAAAGCUAACGCAUUAAGUAGACCGCCUGGGGAGUACGGCCGCAAGGUUAAAACUCAAAUGAAUUGACGGGGGCCCGCACAAGCGGUGGAGCAUGUGGUUUAAUUCGAUGCAACGCGAAGAACCUUACCUACACUUGACAUACAGAGAACUUACCAGAGAUGGUUUGGUGCCUUCGGGAACUCUGA